CUUACCUCCGCGAUAUCACUCCGCCCGACUUCCCCUCGCCUACUCCCAUCCCUCCUUUUGUAAAAAUAAAAUCUCCCCUCCCCCAUCGACUGUCGAGCUCCCACCGGCCUACUACGAUUUCCUCCAUGCCGACUCCCUAGGCGCAGCCUGCCCUCGCUUCCCUUCCUCACCGGGACUCCCUCCGGCCGCUUCCCUCCACGCACCCGGUGCCUCCCUUCGGCCGCCAUCCUCUGCGUCGGUGACACGGUUCCGCGCGGAUGAAAGAGCGAGGCAGUCCCACAUGCGGCGGCGUGGCUCCCCCCUCACUGCGCCUCCUGGUGGCACAACGCCGCAUCCGUCUCUAGCGUCGGCCAGCUUGGUCCCUGCGCCAGUGAGCUCCCCAGCUCCAGCGGCCACCUCUGCCACGCCGGCAAUGGCUGGAUCUGGUGGAUCCGGUUCCCCACUACCUUUCCCACCCCAUCUUCUUCUCAUCCAUGGGAACGUUGCAGGCGCCUGGCCGCUGCAGGUGCGGAGGCCGCUGGCUGCUGGUCGCGGGCAUGGGGACGGCCAUGGAGGAAGCGAUCUACGAGGUCGUAUUGCGACAGGAGGGCACUGGUCUAGGAGGGCGCCGGCGUCAACGGCGCGGUGACACCGCCUGCAGGGUGGGUGAACGAGAAAGAGGUGGAGGAAGAAGUGGACCUCCAGCUAACUAAGGCAGCCGUACGGCUCCAUCCGGACUGAUUUGUGCCAUCUCAGGCUCGCCCCAGCCACAAGCGCUGCCUCUGCUGAAUCGACAUGUUUGAUUUGGAUUUCUCAUCCUCUAUGCAGUCACAUUCAAGCUGUAUGAUCGAAGGGGACGGGUUACAUCAGGAAAGAAGAGGUGAUCGUCCAUUCAUUCUCAUAUGUGUUUGUUUGCAACGAUCUCGUUUUUAUUCUAACAUCUGUGUGCCGGUCUGGUUGGAGUGCGGACAUUCAGUCUAGGGGACUCAAAUGGAGAUGGCAUGAUAUGUCCUGAAGAAUGGGAGUUGCAGGGAUUAGUGUUGUAUUUCUUAUAUUACUAUUCCUAUCUUUUUCUUUUUAAGUAAUGUCUAGAAGCCAGUGGCUCAAAUAUUUAGGCACAACUGUGUAUAAGGAAGCACAGUUCCAUCAGCUCUAUUGUGACAUAGUUAACUCCUGAAAUUUUUAAUUUUUCUUUUUAAGUAAUGUCUAGAAGCCAGUGGCUGAAAUAUUUGGGCACAACUGCGUAUAAGGAAGCACAAUUCCAUCAGCUCUAUUGUGACAUAGUUAACUCCUGAAAUUUUUAAAAUUAAGGGCAAAUUUGACUUUAGCAUAGUCCGUGGAAUGAUGCACCAGAGCAGGUUCAGAAUGAAGCUGCAACAGAUUGCAUGAGGGUUGCUGCCAUACGCUGCAACCUAACAAGAUGGUGACAAAAAAAUCAUCUAAAUGAUAAGCUUCAGGUGGUAACUAGGCCAUGAUUUCCCAGUAUCAAAACAUUGUGGAGGAUCUUACUAGGCAAUAAUACAUAUGUGAAUGUUACUAUAAGCCACUUGGUUGUUGCCAGACCCAUAUAUAUAAUUACAUGGUCAAUGCCUUCGGCACAUUUUUGUUAUUAAAUUUUGGCACUGCCUAUAUCAUUACCUCUUUUUUUUAUUCUCUUAUUACCCAGCAAGUGUGUUAUUUUGUAAAUUUUUACUAGCUAGAUUAUACAUUCUAUCGUAUGCAUUGAAGCUACUUGAUCAUGGACUUUUUAAAUGUGUUGUACCACACAGGAUCAUCUAAAAAUUUGAUGCAGAAACUGAACCCCUCUAAUUAGUUGGGAACAUGCCUAAUUUCUUCUCUUGUCUGAAAAUAUUCUGCUAUUUAUUUCAGAGUUGCAGAUGACACCUAAAAGGACUUUACAGCCAUAUUAGACAUUUCGCACUCUAGAAGAGGACCCAUAUUCUCAUGUUCUGUGACUUGUAUCCUUUUUCUAUGUGCUAAGAUUUGUUGGGCGUCUAAUCCUUUUUUUAGAUUUGAAUAUUCAUGUUUCUAGAUGGUAAAGUUUCAAGUCGGGUUAAGUUUAACCUUUUGCAUAUAUAUGUAUAUAUUAGUAUGUGCAUGAAAGAAAUUUCAGUUUCAUUUUUUAACAGAGAUACCAUGAUGUGCCUUCCUCCGAGGGCCCUCGGCCAUGUAGAUUAGGAACUUUGUUUGACAACAUUCUGAUAACUGAUGACUCUGAGUACGCCAUGAAGUUUGCAAAGGAGACCUGGGGCAUCCACAAAGAUGCUGAGAAGGCUGCCUUUGCCGAGGCUGAGAAAAGAGUCUUCAAUAGGUAAUACAAAAUUAAACACUUUUGUGCAUUGCCAAUCCCUAUUCCAUUUAGGUAGAGUGUUAGUGUACAGCAUAGCCCACUCAUCUGAAACGAAAUCAAAUCUACUCAGUUCAAUAUUAACCUGCAAUGUGGCUGUGAGCACGCCCAAGGGCGACAGUGACCAGAUGGUAGUUAAAUUCUUGGGUUAUUAUGUUUCUUUAAGCUUGUGUUGGUCUUCACAAAGAUUUGUUACUUACUUUUCAAAUACUGCAGGGAGGAAGAACUAUUCACCACCUCUUCCUAAAAUGUGCUCUGGCAAAACAGAUGAAUGCACUUGACAUUGCUUCUCAGCCUAUUUAACAAUUUAUGUUUUACUUUUAUUUUAAUUGUUAACAAAACAUUGCUUCUCAACCUAUUUAACAAUUCAUGUUUUAUUAUACUCAUGGCAACAUAUGUUAUAACAUUCAUGUUUUUUUAGUUCCUGUUUUCCUAAUCCUAAUUCAAAGAAUACAGUGAAAGAUUUUCAUCAUUGUAAGUUUUUUCUAUUCUAUUAUAUUCUUGUAUGCUACGAAGGAUCUUUUAAAAAGGGUUUCUGGAGUUGUGUUGUGAUAAUCUAUGUUUUUUAUAACAGUGAUAAUUUAUGUUUGAA
Sorghum bicolor (sorghum) is the source of this 2918-nucleotide long non-coding RNA. RefSeq lists it as uncharacterized. The record is from RefSeq and is a predicted model, not a curated record. Lineage: Eukaryota; Viridiplantae; Streptophyta; Magnoliopsida; Poales; Poaceae. The transcript is spliced from 2 exons.